Molecule: ribosomal RNA, 519 nt
Filed under: uncultured bacterium
Lineage: Bacteria
Description: bacterial SSU rRNA
Rfam family: Bacterial small subunit ribosomal RNA
Source: RNAcentral
AACGAACGCUGGCGGCAGGCCUCAUACAUGCAAGUCGAGCGAUUAAGACUCCUUCGGGAGUGUAUAAAGCGGCGAACGGGUGAGUAACAGGUGGAUGAUCUACCUUCCGGUGGGGGAUAACGGCUGGAAACGGCCGCUAAUACCGCAUUCGGUUAAUACGCUGCGGCGUAUUAAAGAAAGGCGCUUCAAAGCGCCGCCGGGAGAUGAGUCCGCCCCCCCAUUAGCUAGUUGGUGAGAUAACAGCUCACCAAGGCAACGAUGGGUAGCCGAACUGAGAGGUUGAUCGGCCACACUGGAACUGAGACACGGUCCAGACACCUACGGGUGGCAGCAGUAGGGAAUAUUGGGCAAUGGGCGAAAGCCUGAUCCAGCCAUGCCGCGUGUGUGAAGAAGGCCUUCGGGUUGUAAGACACUUUGUUGGGUAAGAACGGACCGGAGUAAUACUUCGGCUGAAUGACGGUACCAAACGAAUAAGCACCGGCUACUUACGUUCGCCAGCAGCCGCGGUAAACGUACUAC